Molecule: non-coding RNA, 20 nt
Filed under: Rattus norvegicus (Norway rat)
Lineage: Eukaryota; Metazoa; Chordata; Mammalia; Rodentia; Muridae
Source: RNAcentral
GAUGAGUCCCUAAUAAAUGC